GAGUACAUAGCAAAGUCUGGCAAUGCACUGGUCUGCAAAAUCAGUAUUCGUUGGUUCAAAUCCAACUGUACUCU
RNAcentral lists this transfer RNA (74 nucleotides) under Fusicatenibacter saccharivorans. Its description in RNAcentral is "tRNA-Cys". It matches the Rfam family "tRNA". From Rfam's summary of the family: Transfer RNA (tRNA) molecules are approximately 80 nucleotides in length. Their secondary structure includes four short double-helical elements and three loops (D, anti-codon, and T loops). The record is from RNAcentral. RNAcentral also lists the same sequence under 3 other names. Lineage: Bacteria; Bacillati; Bacillota; Clostridia; Lachnospirales; Lachnospiraceae.